Non-coding RNA from Pelobates cultripes (western spadefoot toad), 333 nucleotides. The record is from the annotation of a GenBank genome assembly. NCBI's taxonomy places the organism in Eukaryota, Metazoa, Chordata, Amphibia, Anura, Pelobatidae.
CUCGAAGACCGCCCGAGGGCGGGAAGCGGAAGGCUUCAAAGGAAACCGGGCAUGAAAGGAGCGGACCAAAGAGGGAGCGUGCACAUCAGAGCUCGAAACCCAGGACCGCUCCUCAGGACCGUACCCCUUCCAAUCCACCAAAUAUUGCAGCCGGCCCCUAGAAACACGAGAGUCGAGAAGAGCGGCCACCUCGUAUACAUCGUCAGAGACAGCGCGAGGGGAAACGGGCCGCCCGAGGGGACGAGAGAACCGGUUACACAGCAAGGGCUUCAAAAGCGAGACGUGAAACGUGUUCGGGACACGCAUGGAAGGAGGCAGAUCAAGGGAGUAGGA